GACGAACUUUGGCGGCGUGCUUAACACAUGCAAGUCGAACGGAAAGGCCCUGCUUUUGUGGGGUGCUCGAGUGGCGAACGGGUGAGUAACACGUGAGUAACCUGCCCUUGACUUUGGGAUAACUUCAGGAAACUGGGGCUAAUACCGGAUAGGAGCUCCUGCUGCAUGGUGGGGGUUGGAAAGUUUCGGCGGUUGGGGAUGGACUCGCGGCUUAUCAGCUUGUUGGUGGGGUAGUGGCUUACCAAGGCUUUGACGGGUAGCCGGCCUGAGAGGGUGACCGGCCACAUUGGGACUGAGAUACGGCCCAGACUCCUACGGGAGGCAGCAGUGGGGAAUAUUGCACAAUGGGCGGAAGCCUGAUGCAGCAACGCCGCGUGCGGGAUGACGGCCUUCGGGUUGUAAACCGCUUUCGCCUGUGACGAAGCGUGAGUGACGGUAAUGGGUAAAGAAGCACCGGCUAACUACGUGCCAGCAGCCGCGGUGAUACGUAGGGUGCGAGCGUUGUCCGGAUUUAUUGGGCGUAAAGGGCUCGUAGGUGGUUGAUCGCGUCGGAAGUGUAAUCUUGGGGCUUAACCCUGAGCGUGCUUUCGAUACGGGUUGACUUGAGGAAGGUAGGGGAGAAUGGAAUUCCUGGUGGAGCGGUGGAAUGCGCAGAUAUCAGGAGGAACACCAGUGGCGAAGGCGGUUCUCUGGGCCUUUCCUGACGCUGAGGAGCGAAAGCGUGGGGAGCGAACAGGCUUAGAUAUCCUGGUAGUCCACGCUGUAAACGGUGGGUACUAGGUGUGGGGUCCAUUCCACGGGUUCCGUGCCGUAGCUAACGCUUUAAGUACCCCGCCUGGGGAGUACGGCCGCAAGGCUAAAACUCAAAGGAAUUGACGGGGCCCCGCACAAGCGGCGGAGCAUGCGGAUUAAUUCGAUGCAACGCGUAGAACCUUACCUGGGUUUGACAUGGAUCGGGAGUGCUCAGAGAUGGGUGUGCCUCUUUUGGGGUCGGUUCACAGGUGGUGCAUGGCUGUCGUCAGCUCGUGUCGUGAGAUGUUGGGUUAAGUCCCGCAACGAGCGCAACCCUUGUUCACUGUUGCCAGCACGUUAUGGUGGGGACUCAGUGGAGACCGCCGGGGUCAACUCGGAGGAAGGUGGGGAUGACGUCAAGUCAUCAUGCCCCUUAUGUCCAGGGCUUCACGCAUGCUACAAUGGCUGGUACAGAGAGUGGCGAGCCUGCGAGGGUGAGCGAAUCUCGGAAAGCCGGUCUCAGUUCGGAUUGGGGUCUGCAACUCGACCUCAUGAAGUCGGAGUCGCUAGUAAUCGCAAAUCAGCAACGCUGCGUCGAAUACCGUUCCCGGGGCUU
RNAcentral lists this ribosomal RNA (1348 nucleotides) under uncultured bacterium. Its description in RNAcentral is "partial 16S ribosomal RNA". It matches the Rfam family "Bacterial small subunit ribosomal RNA", at positions 28 to 1382 of the family's 1533-position model. The record is from RNAcentral.